UACAGAGGUCUCAAGCGUUGUCCGGAAUUAUUGGGCGUAAAGAGCUCGUAGGCGGUUUGUCGCGUCUGCUGUGAAAACUCGGGGCUUAACUCCGGGCCUGCAGUGGGUACGGGCAGACUAGAGUGCGGUAGGGGAGACUGGAAUUCCUGGUGUAGCGGUGAAAUGCGCAGAUAUCAGGAGGAACACCAAUGGCGAAGGCAGCUCGCUGGGACGGUACUGACGCUGAGACGCGAAAGCGUGGGGAGCAAACAGG
This 253-nucleotide ribosomal RNA is filed under the name uncultured bacterium. RNAcentral describes it as "partial 16S ribosomal RNA". It matches the Rfam family "Bacterial small subunit ribosomal RNA", at positions 524 to 776 of the family's 1533-position model. The record is from RNAcentral.